RNAcentral lists this ribosomal RNA (271 nucleotides) under uncultured bacterium. Its description in RNAcentral is "partial 16S ribosomal RNA". It matches the Rfam family "Bacterial small subunit ribosomal RNA", at positions 793 to 1055 of the family's 1533-position model. The record is from RNAcentral.
GUCCUAGCCGUAAACGAUGGGCACUGGGCAGUGGGGAUACCUAUGUCCUCUCUGCCGGAGCUAAUGUGUUAAGUGCCCCGCCUGGGGAGUACGCUCGCAAGGGUAAACUCAAAGAAAUUGACGGGGGCUCACACAAGCGGUGGAGCAUGUGGUUCAAUUCGAAGCAACGCGAAGAACCUUACCUGGCCUUGACAUGCACGGAUUAGUCCCGUGAAAGCGGGAUGACAGCUCUUCGGAGUCGGAACGUGCACAGGUGUUGCAUGGCUGUCGU